GACGAACGCUGGCGGCGUGCCUAAUACAUGCAAGUUGAGCGCUGAAGGUUGGUACUUGUACCGACUGGAUGAGCAGCGAACGGGUGAGUAACGCGUGGGGAAUCUGCCUUUGAGCGGGGGACAACAUUGGGAAACGAAUGCUAAUACCGCAUAAAAACUUUAAACACAAGAUUUAAGUUUGAAAGAUGCAAUUGCAUCACUCAAAGAUGAUCCCGCGUUGUAUUAGCUAGUUGGUGAGGGAAAGGCUCACCAAGGCGAUGAUACAUAGCCGACCUGAGAGGGUGGUCGGCCACCAUGGGACCGAGACACGGCCCCAGCUCCUACGGGAGGCAGCCGUAGGGGAUCUUCGGCCAUGGACGAAAGUCUGACCGAGCAAAGCCGCGUGAGUGAAGAAGGUUUUCGGAUCGUUAAACUCUGUUGGUAGAGAAGAACGUUGGUGAGAGUGGAACGCUCAUCAAGUGACGGUACCUACCCAGAAAGGGACGGCUAACUACGUG
Molecule: ribosomal RNA, 497 nt
Filed under: uncultured bacterium
Lineage: Bacteria
Description: partial 16S ribosomal RNA
Rfam family: Bacterial small subunit ribosomal RNA
Source: RNAcentral